This 751-nucleotide ribosomal RNA is filed under the name uncultured Actinomyces sp. RNAcentral describes it as "bacterial SSU rRNA". It matches the Rfam family "Bacterial small subunit ribosomal RNA", at positions 28 to 776 of the family's 1533-position model. Lineage: Bacteria; Bacillati; Actinomycetota; Actinomycetes; Actinomycetales; Actinomycetaceae. The record is from RNAcentral.
GACGAACGCCGGGGGCGUGCUUAACACAUGCAAGUCGAACGCUGAAGCCCAGCUUGCUGGGUGGCUGAGUGGCGAACGGGUGAGUAACACGUGAGUAACCUGCCCCCCUUCUUUGGGAUAACGCCCGGAAACGGGUGCUAAUACAGGAUAUUCACUGGCCUUCGCAUGGGGGUUGGUGGAAAGGUUUUUUCUGGUGGGGGAUGGGCUCGCGGCCUAUCAGCUUGUUGGUGGGGUGAUGGCCUACCAAGGCUUUGACGGGUAGCCGGCCUGAGAGGGUGACCGGUCACAUUGGGACUGAGAUACGGCCCAGACUCCUACGGGAGGCAGCAGUGGGGAAUAUUGCACAAUGGGCGAAAGCCUGAUGCAGCGACGCCGCGUGAGGGAUGACGGCCUUCGGGUUGUAAACCUCUUUCGCUCAUGGUCAAGCCGCAACAAUGGUUGUGGUGAGGGUAGUGGGUAAAGAAGCGCCGGCUAACUACGUGCCAGCAGCCGCGGUAAUACGUAGGGCGCGAGCGUUGUCCGGAAUUAUUGGGCGUAAAGGGCUUGUAGGCGGUUGGUCGCGUCUGCCGUGAAAUCCUCUGGCUUAACUGGGGGCGUGCGGUGGGUACGGGCUGACUUGAGUGCGGUAGGGGAGACUGGAACUCCUGGUGUAGCGGUGGAAUGCGCAGAUAUCAGGAAGAACACCGGUGGCGAAGGCGGGUCUCUGGGCCGUUACUGACGCUGAGGAGCGAAAGCGUGGGGAGCGAACAGG